This 636-nucleotide long non-coding RNA is filed under the name Homo sapiens (human). Its description in RNAcentral is "HSALNT0294175". The record is from RNAcentral. Lineage: Eukaryota; Metazoa; Chordata; Mammalia; Primates; Hominidae.
AACCUCAGACAUACUGAAUUUUCAAUCUGCUUGCCACAAAGAAUGAUGCUGUCUUUCUGGGUGAGCUUUCAGAGAACUUAUCACAUCAUACGGUAAAAGACAGUUUCCAGUUUAUUUUGUUUGCUUUCAGUGGCCUAACGUACACUUUAGUUUUUGUUUCAUUUCUCUUACAAACAUUUUUGUUUGUUUGUUUGCCAUGUAGAGGGUAGGGCCUUUAAGGGAGAGAAAGGUACUUGAAGGAUUAGGACAUUUCAAAUUACUGAAAGUUGUGUCAAAGUAGAGACUGUAGAAAAAACAACAAGUAGAAUAAUCAUCAAGUGAUCUAACACAAACAGACAUUAUCUAAUACAAAUAUAGGGAGGAGUUCACAACUGUUAAGUCCAUUAUUUGCUUCUUACUAGUUCAGUAGAUGUUCUGUAGCUUUUAAAAAUAUUGCUGUGCAAUUCAUCAUUCAGCUCUAUUUUUUCAGCAGAAGUUUUUAAAAAGUAUUGCAAAAUAAAAGAUUAACUUAAAAUAAAUUAUAGUUUUAUUAUAACAGUGGUCUGCGAUGAAAAAUGCAAGUAUAAAAUAAAUUCUAAUGUCAUGUCAAGAAUAGCAGCCACAGUCAGGCAGCUCCUCUAAACACAUUAAAUCUAA